RNAcentral lists this unclassified non-coding RNA (213 nucleotides) under plant metagenome. Its description in RNAcentral is "partial contains small subunit ribosomal RNA and internal transcribed spacer 1". The record is from RNAcentral.
AAGGUCGUAACAAGGUUUCCAGUAGGUGAACCUGCGGAAGGAUCAUUACCGAGUUCUGCCUGCUCUGCAGGAACUCCCACCCUUGAUUACUAUAGCGUUGCUUCGGCGAGACGCUGGAAACGGCCAUUGAUAUUGAACCAAAUGUCGAUGCGUGCUCGCCGGAGUUCAUACUCUGCAUUAUGUGUCGUCAGAGAAUCAAAAACUCUAUAAAAG